AUACGGAGGAUCCAAGCGUUAUCCGGAAUCAUUGGGUUUAAAGGGUCCGUAGGUGGAUAAUUAAGUCAGAGGUGAAAUCCUGCAGCUCAACUGUAGAAUUGCCUUUGAAACUGGUUAUCUUGAGUCAUUAUGAAGUGGUUAGAAUGUGUGGUGUAGCGGUGAAAUGCAUAGAUAUUACACAGAAUACCGAUUGCGAAGGCAGAUCACUAAUAAUGUACUGACACUGAUGGACGAAAGCGUGGGUAGCGAACAGGAUUAGAAACCCCAGUAGUCC
This 274-nucleotide ribosomal RNA is filed under the name uncultured bacterium. RNAcentral's name for it is "partial 16S ribosomal RNA". It matches the Rfam family "Bacterial small subunit ribosomal RNA", at positions 523 to 796 of the family's 1533-position model. The record is from RNAcentral.